AACGAACGCUGGCGGCAUGCCUAACACAUGCAAGUCGAACGAGACCUUCGGGUCUAGUGGCGCACGGGUGCGUAACGCGUGGGAACCUGCCCUUAGGUUCGGAAUAACUCCCCGAAAGGGGUGCUAAUACCGGAUAAUGUCUUCGGACCAAAGAUUUAUCGCCUUUGGAUGGGCCCGCGUUGGAUUAGCUAGUUGGUAGGGUAAAAGCCUACCAAGGCGACGAUCCAUAGCUGGUCUGAGAGGAUGCUCAGCCACACUGGGACUGAGACACGGCCCAGACCCCUACGGGAGGCAGCAGUGGGGAAUAUUGGACAAUGGGCGAAAGCCUGAUCCAGCAAUGCCGCGUGAGUGAUGAAGGCCUUAGGGUUGUAAAGCUCUUUUACCCGGGAUGAUAAUGACAGUACCGGGAGAAUAAGCUCCGGCUAACUCCGUG
This 433-nucleotide ribosomal RNA is filed under the name uncultured bacterium. RNAcentral describes it as "partial 16S ribosomal RNA". It matches the Rfam family "Bacterial small subunit ribosomal RNA", at positions 29 to 507 of the family's 1533-position model. The record is from RNAcentral.